RNAcentral lists this transfer RNA (73 nucleotides) under Bos taurus (domestic cattle). It matches the Rfam family "tRNA". From Rfam's summary of the family: Transfer RNA (tRNA) molecules are approximately 80 nucleotides in length. Their secondary structure includes four short double-helical elements and three loops (D, anti-codon, and T loops). RNAcentral also lists the same sequence under 1 other name. Lineage: Eukaryota; Metazoa; Chordata; Mammalia; Artiodactyla; Bovidae. The record is from Rfam by way of RNAcentral.
UCCCUCGUGGUCCAGUGGCUAAGACUCUGAGCUCCCAACGCAGGGGUCCUGGGUUUGAAUCCUGGUCAGGGAC